This 171-nucleotide non-coding RNA is filed under the name Brochothrix campestris. RNAcentral describes it as "T-box sequence". It matches the Rfam family "T-box leader". From Rfam's summary of the family: Uncharged tRNA acts as the effector for transcription antitermination of genes in the T-box leader family. Lineage: Bacteria; Bacillati; Bacillota; Bacilli; Caryophanales; Listeriaceae. The record is from RNAcentral.
AUAGAAGCAAUGAAGAGCAGUAGUAGCAAUUUAAACCAGUUUCAGUGAGUAUGGGAUAGUGUGAACCAUAUAACAUGGCGAUUGUGAAGGCAGCUUGGAGCUUAGUUUAUUGAGGUGGAUGAUAGUUAUAUCAUCAAGUAGGGUGGAACCGCGAUGUUUAUCGUCCCUAUG